ACUUCCUGAUAAAAACUUUUGAAAACUUGAUUAAUUAAAUUAAGUAAUACAUUUAUAUUUACUAAUACAAUGAAUUACAAAUAUAGAAACCUAAUUUUGUUUUCUUUUUCCUCUUCUUUUCCAUUUUUAUCAUCUUCCCCAUUACCAUGUAACUCACCAAAAAUUUCAAAAUCUAAAAUAACCAAAUCAUUCAUCCUCUUCCCUUGUAACAAUCCAUGAAGCUAAAAAAUCUCAAAAUAAAAACCCCAAUUCAUUCAUCAUCUUCAAAAUUUUGCCCAAUCUCAAACUCACUAGGAAGAAUCAAAAAACCAAACCAAACCCAAACCUAAAAUUUCAGAAAUCUCAUGAGUAGAGGAAGAACCAAAAACCCAAACCCAAAUCUUCAUCUUCAUACCAAAAUUUAGAUCUGUCAUGGGAGAUGAGAACCAGAGGUUGGGCGGUGUCGGAGCCUAAAUUUGUCUUCUGUUUUGGAGUUGACGAUGUGAAUCUGUAUGAAUCUUCCUUGGACGUGUCAAAUGAAAAUCCAACGUCGAACACCGGAUCUACGCCGAACACCAGAAAUCCGUCUAAGUCAAUGUCGUCAUGACGAAAAGAAGACGCGAGAAGAUUUUGGGAAGGUAGGAGAAGAUUUCGAGAAGUCGUCGUCAUUGGAGAUCUGCAAUUAUAAAGAAUGAAAUGGAUUCAAUUCCCUGCAAAUCAAAUUUGGUCGAAGUCUAUAAUUUUUCUUUUCAGUCCCCAUCUUCCCCAAAUCGGAUUUUAGCCUUUUUAUUUUUUUUAGUUUAUUAUCCUAAGUUGGAUUGGAUUGUAUUGAUAUUGGUUUUGAUUUAUUUUUUAUUUUAUUAUUUGAUCUGCAAUAUUUUGGUAUUGUAUUACUUAAUUUUGUUUAGUUCUUAUGUACUUCUCCAAGUUGGGUUCUUUGGAGUAUUAUAUUAUUUAAUUAAUUAGUUGCUAUUUAAUUAAGUCAACUACUAUUAAUAUACAAUAUAUCAAGG
This 992-nucleotide long non-coding RNA is filed under the name Panax ginseng (ginseng). Its description in RNAcentral is "long non-coding RNA (PGIN_LNC003618)". The record is from RNAcentral. Lineage: Eukaryota; Viridiplantae; Streptophyta; Magnoliopsida; Apiales; Araliaceae.